AGAGGAUAGUAGAACACUUUACUAAUGUUUGAAGGAUAUAAAAUGUUUUAUUUGGAAAUAAUCACUUGAAUUUGGAACAACAUAAUCUCAACUCAAGGAAAACAGAGAUUGACAAUGCUUAGAAUAAAUCAUGUUCAAUUAACAUAAUACUGCCUAGGUCAGCUAUUAAUCUCAAUUUCUUUGGAUGAGUUUCCCAUAUAAGUGCUACAUAUUUGAAAAGACAGAUUAUAAAUUCAGGAUAAAACUAAUUGGCAAACUCUCUUUAGCAAGAUGAAGGUGAAAUUCUUCAGGCGAGUUAUGCUGAUUUUCAUAAUCUAAUGGGCUGAGGUGGGGAGAAUGAAGAACCUGAUUUUUGUUGAGCACCUACACAUGCAGGAACUCUACUGAGCUCUUUGUAUAUUUCUUUUAAUUUAAUUCUCACAAUUAGAUGAGGAAACUGAUACUUAAAGAGCUUAAAUUAUCUAAUAUCACAUGGCAAUUAAAUGUUGAAACUUUAAUAAUAAACUUCAGUGUGCAUCACUGUUAAGCAUAGCAUUUAUUUUCUCAUUUCCAUGUACUUGAUCUUUUAGUGAAAAAAAUCUAAAUAAAUUAAUGCCCUGGUCAUUCAAAACUAAUUAACAACUAUUGCUACUACAUGGACUGAAUGUUAUGCUAUAUGAAAUGUUUUAUAAAAUAUUUUUUCUUUUAUAAAACUUUUAUGUAUUUAUUUAUUUGAAAGGUAGAGUUACAGAGAGAGAGGGACAAACAGAGGAAGAGAGAGAUCUUCCAUCCACUGGUUCACUUUCUAAUUGGCUGCAAUACCCAGGUCUGGGCCAGGCUGAAGCUAGGAGCUAGGCCCUCCGUCUGGGCCUCCCACCCAGGUGGCAGAGACCCAAGUAUGUGGGCAAUCUUUCACUGCUUUCCCAGGCACAUUAGCAGGAAGCUUCACUGGAAGAGUGCAGUGGCUGGGACUCCAAGUAGCACUCAUAGGGGAUGUUGGCAUCAGAAGCAGGACUUAACUUGCUGUGCCACAAAGUUGGUCCCAAAAUCUUUUUCUUUUCCCGUAAACUAUUAGUCCAUGGAUCUAAUCAAGUAGAUUGUUGAAGGACUUCUGCCACUUUCCUUCUUAAGUGGUGAGACUUGAAAGGGUGACUUCUUUCCAUGGUUUUGUUGCCCAAUAAAAUAACUCACACCCACA
RNAcentral lists this long non-coding RNA (1177 nucleotides) under Oryctolagus cuniculus (rabbit). RNAcentral describes it as "lncRNA (ENSOCUG00000033922.1)". The record is from RNAcentral. Lineage: Eukaryota; Metazoa; Chordata; Mammalia; Lagomorpha; Leporidae.